RNAcentral lists this ribosomal RNA (497 nucleotides) under uncultured bacterium. Its description in RNAcentral is "partial 16S ribosomal RNA". It matches the Rfam family "Bacterial small subunit ribosomal RNA", at positions 28 to 507 of the family's 1533-position model. The record is from RNAcentral.
GAUGAGCGCUGGCGGGGUGCCUAAUACAUGCAAGUCGAGCGAACAGAUGAGGAGCUUGCUCCUCUGACGUUAGCGGCGGACGGGUGAGUAACACGUGGAUAACCUACCUAUAAGACUGGGAUAACUUCGGGAAACCGGAGCUAAUACCGGAUAAUAUAUUGAACCGCAUGGUUCAAUAGUGAAAGACGGUUUUGCUGUCACUUAUAGAUGGAUCCGCGCCGCAUUAGCUAGUUGGUAAGGUAACGGCUUACCAAGGCAACGAUGCGUAGCCGACCUGAGAGGGUGAUCGGCCACACUGGAACUGAGACACGGUCCAGACUCCUACGGGAGGCAGCAGUAGGGAAUCUUCCGCAAUGGGCGAAAGCCUGACGGAGCAACGCCGCGUGAGUGAUGAAGGUCUUCGGAUCGUAAAACUCUGUUAUUAGGGAAGAACAAAUGUGUAAGUAACUAUGCACGUCUUGACGGUACCUAAUCAGAAAGCCACGGCUAACUACGUG